GGUCACGUAGCUCAGCCUGGCCAGAGCGGCUGACUUGUAAUCAGCAGGUCGUGGGUCCAAAUCCCACCGUGACCU
Molecule: transfer RNA, 75 nt
Filed under: Candidatus Nitrososphaera gargensis Ga9.2
Lineage: Archaea; Thermoproteati; Nitrososphaerota; Nitrososphaeria; Nitrososphaerales; Nitrososphaeraceae
Also listed under: 4 other names
Description: tRNA-Thr (TGT) (tRNA-Thr-TGT-1-1)
Rfam family: tRNA
About the family: Transfer RNA (tRNA) molecules are approximately 80 nucleotides in length.
Source: RNAcentral